Long non-coding RNA from Etheostoma spectabile (orangethroat darter), 101 nucleotides. RefSeq lists it as uncharacterized. The record is from RefSeq and is a predicted model, not a curated record. The transcript has 3 exons. NCBI's taxonomy places the organism in Eukaryota, Metazoa, Chordata, Actinopteri, Perciformes, Percidae.
AAAAGUUUGGGAACCACUGGUCUACAGGGCUAAAAAGAGUGUGGGAUGUUUUGUUUUCUUCUAACAGGCAUUUGUUGACAGGUCUAGGCAACAAGGCAUAG